This 72-nucleotide transfer RNA is filed under the name Ovis aries (sheep). It matches the Rfam family "tRNA". From Rfam's summary of the family: Transfer RNA (tRNA) molecules are approximately 80 nucleotides in length. Their secondary structure includes four short double-helical elements and three loops (D, anti-codon, and T loops). The record is from Rfam by way of RNAcentral. Lineage: Eukaryota; Metazoa; Chordata; Mammalia; Artiodactyla; Bovidae.
UCUCUGGUGGCUCAGACAUUAGAGCAUCUGCCUGAAAUGUGGGAGACCCAGGUUCGAUCCCUGGGUUGGGAA